Colias croceus (clouded yellow) is the source of this 1079-nucleotide long non-coding RNA. RefSeq lists it as uncharacterized. NCBI's taxonomy places the organism in Eukaryota, Metazoa, Arthropoda, Insecta, Lepidoptera, Pieridae. The record is from RefSeq and is a predicted model, not a curated record. The transcript has 2 exons.
UAACCCCUGUUUUCCCCAUAGGGUAGCCAGUGUGAUUGUAAAUUUUUCCCCUAUUGACGUGCAUUAAAAAUCGACUGUCAGUAUAAUAGGUCUAUAUGACAAAAAUCAUUAAUAAAAUCCGCUAAAAAAAAUGAAAUUUAAACGAGAUUCAUGCAGGUUUGCUUUUCCAUUGAAAUAACAAAGGUUUACAACUUUUAAAAUGGAUUGCUUAUCGAGCACGCUCAUAAUUUUUUUCCCAUAUUUUGAAUUAUGUUAUGAAAAUCGUUGCGCGGCAGCCCCAAUUCUAGGUGUCAAAUAAUGUUUACUGCAAAAUGGCGGAUGUUUAUAUUCAUUUCGUGAGUUUGUUCUUGUAUUUUGGAAUUAUUCUGAGUCAAAAUUAAUAGAAAUGAUUGUAAAUAUAUUGUGCGCGGUUGCAAAAGUGAGUGGCAGCCAGGAUGUGAUAUUAUAUUUCAUUCGUUUCCGUCCAAUCUAGCGGAACGUAAUACAUGGCUAAAUAGCUAAAUAUAGUAGAAUUAAAAAUAUCCUGUUUUGAAAAAGCGAAGAUAUUAUACAACAUUCAUUUUAAACCCGCACUUGGACAGUGCGGUGGAUGUGGCCUGUAACCUCAUAGGAGGCCAUGUCCCAGCAGUGGGAACGUAAUAUAUACGUUACGGGAAAUAAAAUGUAUGGGAGGGUUUAAAGUUACAUUUUUAGAUAUUUCUCGUUAUAUUAAAAAAAGUUAUUAUUGUUAUUUUACUCAUUACGUAAAGUUUCAUAUCAAUAUCAGUUUAAAGUUUUUUGAUACCUGCCAUAGUUACGGAAUAAUCACCUGUGUAAUCGUUAAGUGUGCACUUAACGAUUACACCCUGAAUAUAUUAUAUAUUUUGUUUUUUAUUGUAUGAUAGGGAAGCGCAAGACCACGAUCUCAUAUUUCAAGUACUCUUAAAAAACUAUUUAAAUACUAAAUGUAGGGUAUGGAAUAAUAAAAAUAUUUUCAGUGAACCGAUUUCAUUAUUUUUUUAUUGUUAUUGUAUCUUAUAAUUUGCAAAUUUGUAAAGGCAGUUGGCAUUGUAAUGAUAAAUAAAUAUUAUUAAAACACA